GGUGUCACUUGAUGCGGAUAUGGAGGGUACGUCGUCAGCACACAGCUCUCCCGGCCGUAUGUCAGAUUGCGAGACCGGAGCCGCUACAUCUCAUUCAAGUAGCUCCUCAGUUUGCCUCACGAGGGCUGAGUGCACCCCGCUGGCCAACACCGCUCGGCAGACUGGAUGUUCACGUAUCCAAGUACUAGCCCAGCCCGACAGCGCUUGACCUCGGUGAUCCGACGGGAACAGGUGUCACCACUGCGGCCUCAGAAGACCCAACGAUUCUGACCGACCGUCAUGUCAUCCACAGCUGAUAGACGUCACUGGAUGCAGAUACAGAAGGGCAUGUGACCGGAACGCUACUUCUCAAUCAAGCAGCUCAUCAACUGGUCCCACAAGGGGUGAGUGCACCCCACUUGCAAACAGUGCUCGGCAGACCCGAAUGAUUACCCAUCCAAGUCCUAGCGCUUAACCUCGGUGAUCUGAUGGGAACCUGUGUUAUUACCACGGCAAGGCCUUUGCCAUUUAAUGCUUCGAAUGGGUCAUUUAUGUGGUGUAACACCUGUUCAUGGCAAAAGAGUGAUAUAAUGGAAGUUUAUGUCAUUAUCGUUUAAUUAAACAGUGUUUUAGCUCA
Long non-coding RNA from Schistocerca serialis cubense, 616 nucleotides. RefSeq lists it as uncharacterized. Lineage: Eukaryota; Metazoa; Arthropoda; Insecta; Orthoptera; Acrididae. The record is from RefSeq and is a predicted model, not a curated record. The transcript is spliced from 2 exons.